Long non-coding RNA from Aegilops tauschii subsp. strangulata, 776 nucleotides. RefSeq lists it as uncharacterized. The record is from RefSeq and is a predicted model, not a curated record. NCBI's taxonomy places the organism in Eukaryota, Viridiplantae, Streptophyta, Magnoliopsida, Poales, Poaceae.
UUCCUAAGAGUUUAUUUAUUUAUUUUAUGUUCACUGUUGUUAUGCCUUGUUGAUUGUAGGCAAUAAAGUUUGAUCCCAACAAUGCAACAUUGUACUCAAACAGGAGCCUUUGUUGGCUUCACAUUGGCGAGGGCGACAAGGCUUUGUUGGACGCUAGUGAAUGCAGAAAAUUGCGGCCUGACUGGCCAAAGGCCUGUUACCGGCAGGGUGCAGCUCUGAUGUUGCUGAAGGUUACAUAGAUGAUACUGUCGGAUGUUUUUUCCUCUUUGUCAGUUUGUCUGCUAGUUAUUUUUGACCGUUAACUUGUGUUCUAUCGUCAGGAUUACGAGGGUGCAAGCGAACAUUUCUUGGAUGGACUCAAGUUGGACCCAGCCAACACUGAGAUGGAGGAUGCAUUACGGAAAGCUUAUGAUGCCAUGAAAGAUGUCUCGAAGCACCAAGGCCUACAAGUGUUGCAGACUUGCAAGGGGAGGGGUGCUGGAUCUGGUCCCUAGGAGUUGUCAUUGGGAUUUUCACCUUUUGAGCUGCGUGUCGUUAAGCGUCUCACCUUUUGCUAGACUUUCAAUUCCUGAACUAAGUAAGCUGUUGAAUUCCUGAACCAAGUAGUCUGUUGGAAAAUCAAGUAAUCUGAUGGGAAUCAAGUAACUCUGUCAUGUUUGCAUGCAUAAAAUAUCUAGCUUGUAUUCUUCGAUUUCUAUUGUCUUUCAUCCCAUUUUAUCUCACGGUCUGGGUGUCCUAAGAGCAUUCAAAGUCAUCCAAAAAAAAAAACACUUGAC